RNAcentral lists this ribosomal RNA (501 nucleotides) under uncultured bacterium. RNAcentral describes it as "partial 16S ribosomal RNA". It matches the Rfam family "Bacterial small subunit ribosomal RNA", at positions 30 to 523 of the family's 1533-position model. The record is from RNAcentral.
AUUGAACGCUGGCGGCAGGCUUAACACAUGCAAGUCGAGCGGAGAUGAGGUGCUUGCACCUUAUCUUAGCGGCGGACGGGUGAGUAAUGCUUAGGAAUCUGCCUAUUAGUGGGGGACAACAUUCCGAAAGGUAUGCUAAUACCGCAUACGUCCUACGGGAGAAAGCAGGGGAUCUUCGGACCUUGCUCUAAUAGAUGAGCCUAGGUCGGAUUAGCUAGUUGGUGGGGUAAAGGCCUACCAAGGCGACGAUCUGUAGCGGGUCUGAGAGGAUGAUCCGCCACACUGGGACUGAGACACGGCCCAGACUCCUACGGGAGGCAGCAGUGGGGAAUAUUGGACAAUGGGGGAAACCCUGAUCCAGCCAUGCCGCGUGUGUGAAGAAGGCCUUAUGGUUGUAAAGCACUUUAAGCGAGGAGGAGGCUACUGAGACUAAUACUCUUGGAUAGUGGACGUUACUCGCAGAAUAAGCACCGGCUAACUCUGUGCCAGCCGCCGCAGUAA